GGGGCGUCUGUUUUCUAAGUUCAUUUGAGUUUGCAAAGUUCCUGCCUUUGAUCCCCAGAUUGUUCCUCAGGAGCGGGGCGGGGGGCGGGAGUUUGCAGCUGGACACAGUUACGCUACGGAGAGAUAAUCCCAAGCAACAGACCUUUGCAAACUGUAUAGAUCAUCUUCCGCAAGAAACCUUUCUCCCUCCCUAGAAACGGGAACUUACCAAGCCCUGUGAUCAUCAUGUAAGGCCAUUCUUCAUAUGCCUUCUCCAUGAGCGGUCCAGAGGGUGGCAACAUAAGAACGGGCCUUUUAUGCAGUGGUUCCCUGUUUGUGGAAUGCUCAUCCCUGGAACAUUUACCUGGCACCUUCAUUAUACACCUUUAGACACCAGGCUAAAAUGUUCCGCUUCAACCAAGCCUUUGGCUCAGUAACAUCCUUUGCAGUGGUGCCUCGGUUUUCAAACAUAAUCCAUUCCAGAAGAUGGUUCGACUUACGAAACGUUCGAAAACUGAAGCAGUUACUUCUGGAAGCAUUUACUUACAGAAAACUCAAUACGGAAGCCGAAAAGCAUUUGAAAACCGAUGCAGUUACUUCCAGGUUUUUGGUGUUCGAAAACCAGAAGGUUCAACUUCCGAGACGUUCAAAAACCAAGCAGCUGGUAUACAGAAACAUACUUCCCCCAACAGCUGAGAUGGAAAAUACAAAGAGUCUGCUGGAUCAAGCCAAUGCCCCAUCUAGUCCAGCAGCCUGUUCUCAGAGUGGCCAACCAGAUGCCCCAAUAGGAAGAAGCUCACAAGCAGGAACCAAUCACAAGAGCACUCUCUCCCACUGUUGUUUCCAGCAACUGGUAUUCAGAAGCAUCGCUGCCUCCAACCAUGUGGGUGGAGCAUAGCCAUUGUGACUAGUAGCCAUCAAUAGCCUUCUGUUCCUUCAUGAAUUUGUCAAAUAAUCUCUUAAAGCCAUCCUAGUUGGUGACCAUCAGUGCCUCCUGUGGGAGCAAGGAGUCAGCUAGACUGAGUACAAAGCUUCAGAAAAAAAGAUGAGAGAGACUUAUUGGAUAUGUUUAUUAUAUGAGAAUAAGAAGAUCUGCAGCCCAUUCAACCAAGUAUGAACGUGAAAUGUACAUGAACAUAUGCAUGGAUUUUCAUGUAUACUUUUAAAAAAAAUGCAAGUGUUGUUGGAAAUGUGGAGAACCAAAGCUAAGAUUUUAAAUACGAGAAGUUGAAAUGCACACAUCCCUGUAUCCCUAAGGGAAGUAUCUCCAGCAUAGUUUCGAUGGAGACUCUAUCAAGGUAUCCACAAAAUCUCCCUUUGCAGUAGCUGGUGCUUUGCCAUUAAACUGAAAAGGUCACGAUUCCAGACAAUGAGCUAUUUGUGCCGACCAAAAUGAGGGGCGGGGGAGUUGCCCCACAUCUGGAGACCAAAAAAAAAGAAAAAGGAGAGAGAGAUGAAGAAUGACAAAUAUCAAGUGAAUCACAAAGUUGGUCAGGACCUGCAUGCUGUCAUUUUAGAGGCCACGAAUGCAGCCCAGCCAACUCCCCUCUUGAUUUCUCCAGUGUGUCAAAAGUAUGGUUUUGUUGUGGUAAAAGCUGGAAUCUUCCCCACUGGAGAGGAUCACUUGAGCCCGAAGGGUCACUGACCUCCUUAGGAGCGUCCCAGUUACAUAGAAAUGUGCAAGCCCACACCCUCAUUUGCACACCCUCUGGCAUUUCAGAGACAAAGAUAGUUGCUAGUGGGGACAGCCUUUAUUCUUUUUUGUUUUAAAAAAAGAUUUUGUUGGAGCAAAUCAAACAAAUCAAUAAAAUAAAAACAACCAAAGUGGAAUAGGAUGUUAGUGUAUUUUGCUUAUUUCUUGACAAACCAUCAUCCAGAAUUUGCGCAUACCUGAAAUCUGUUUGUUGUGCCAGAGAGAUGUCUGAGUGCCAAAAGAAAAAG
Long non-coding RNA from Podarcis raffonei (Aeolian wall lizard), 1920 nucleotides. RefSeq lists it as uncharacterized. The transcript is spliced from 4 exons. Lineage: Eukaryota; Metazoa; Chordata; Lepidosauria; Squamata; Lacertidae. The record is from RefSeq and is a predicted model, not a curated record.